GGAGGGGUGGCAGAGUGGUUGAAUGCACCGGUCUUGAAAACCGGCAGGGAUUCACGUCCCUCGUGGGUUCAAAUCCCACCCCCUCCGCCA
RNAcentral lists this transfer RNA (90 nucleotides) under Thioalkalivibrio sp. K90mix. RNAcentral describes it as "tRNA-Ser (TGA) (tRNA-Ser-TGA-1-1)". It matches the Rfam family "tRNA". Rfam says of the family: Transfer RNA (tRNA) molecules are approximately 80 nucleotides in length. Their secondary structure includes four short double-helical elements and three loops (D, anti-codon, and T loops). The record is from RNAcentral. Lineage: Bacteria; Pseudomonadati; Pseudomonadota; Gammaproteobacteria; Chromatiales; Ectothiorhodospiraceae.